UUCUCAGUAUUUUUUUGGGAAAUGAAAUCCCAAAAAAAUUAAACCCCCCGCCUGAUACUCCUUCAUCUCCUUCUAAAAUCCUCUGCUAAGAACCCUAAAUCAUUCGUAACCAUUUUCCAUUCCCAAAAAAUUAAACAUCCCGCCUACUACGACUCCCAAAUCACCCUAAAUCAUAAAUCCUUAAAUAUUAAGAACCCUAAUUUGUUCUUGAGAAACGGUGCCUUAGAUCAAAAACUGUGAAUUCAAAUUCGAAUUAGAUCAGGUUCUCUCAAUCAAGAACCUCCCCAUUCUAUAUAUUCAGAAAAAGCAUCAAUGCAUGCAUAUUUCACCUGCGCCGGAGUUAGCCGUUCAUUAUCCCAUAUGGUCAUCGUCACAGCCUCGGGCCUUAUCAACUCCUUCCGCAAGAUCUUUCUCAUAAAUUCUAUCAAUCCUAACCUCUCUCAGUCAAGAAACCCUAACCUUUCUCUCUAUUCACGAGCCAGUAAUCGAUGCCAUCAUAUGUUUCUUUUCUCCGUUACCCUGUUUGUUUUCCCUAAAAUCAUGUUUGGGUUUCUUUUUACUCAUAUGAUUUCUCCAAGGUUUUGAUGCAUUCAUCGCUUACACAUCUCUCAAUUUUCUUUCUAUUGGUGGAUCUGCUCUUUUUUGCUCUCGAUCGAGGGUUUUUUGGGCUUUCAGGUCGCAGAUUUCUUUUAGGCAUUCUUCAACUGUACUCAUCCAGAAAUUCUUUGUUAGGGUUUUUAAUCGCUCUUUAAUUUCAAUUCUAUGUCCGUUAGUUAGUUUUGGAUCUAUACCACAGUACACAAUCAUGAACAUUCAGGUUCUCAUGGCUCCUUUACUUUCCAUCUUCGUGUUGUUAGUGUUUGUACUCCACGUUGCCUCUGAAUCCACGAGAGAAGUAGUAGAACAAAUCGAUGGAGAAGAACUCAAUGAGGAGUUGCUGUUCAGGCCACUUCCUGAUCAGAAAGUUCUUUUUCAUUUUCACUUCGAGAGUAGGGUUCCUCCGACAAAUUCUUAUAGACAUCACCACUGGCUUUUUUCCAAAGCUAUCUAUCAGCUGGAUUUGUGGUCUCAUGAUUCAAACAAUCCAUGUGCCUCUCUCAAGCCUGAACGAUGAGAGCACUAGUGGGUGCACCAUUUCCAACAACUUUUAAGGUUCUGAAAGCAACCAUGGCUGAAUUUCCAGCUCUUAAUGGUCAAAGCAUUUCUUAUGUUGUAAUCCAGUUCCCUAAUGGCACAGUCAACCCACCACACACCAAUCCAUGAGCUUUGGAGCUGUUGUUUGUUCUCAUGGGUUCUUUAGAAGUUGGGUUUGUCGUCACUACUAAUAAGCUGUUUACUCAGACUCUACAACAAGGUUACAUCUUUGUGUUCCCGAAGGGACUUGUCCACUUCCAAUUUAAUAGUGAUUCUAAGAAUCCAGCUUUAGCACUCUCUACAUUUGGUAGUAGUGCAAGAGCAGGGACUGUAUCUGUCCUUUGCAGUGAAAUAGGUGCUCAUUUUUCAGCUUGUGGGAGACGAGGUGAAUGUGGCUUGCUUUCACCCUUUCUCUGGUGGUGGUAUUGUCUAUGGCACGAAGGUGAAUUUCAACAACAACUGCAACUAAUUAAAUCUUAGCAGAAUCUUCAACCUGCUGCUGCUGCUAGAUUGCAACCUAAUUCUGCUCCGCUCAUGCCAUCCUUGAAAUGUAACUAGACUGAGCACACGUCGCCUGAUGGAUAUAAGUACUACAACAAUAGUACAACUGGAGAAAGCAAGUAACAGAUAUGUAGGGCAGACAACACUCCAGCAGGAGGUCCAAAGUCUUGCAAAGAAGGUUGUAGAAACUGUGGUGUUGGUAAUUGAUGAUGAAGGGACUGAGUAUCUGAUAUAAGAACUUCUCAAGUUGCUUCUAUUUCCAUGCUGCUUGGGAAGCACUGUCUAGAGUUGUUGGUUCAGUCCCGAAAGAAAAAUGAAUUUUAAAAAUUUAAAGGAAGAACAAUGAAUUUUGGACUAAAUAAAAUCGGAACGUUGUGGAGAAAAGAAAUGCUAAGGAUGCAUCUGGGAACAUUGUACUUGGAGAAUGAUCUUAUCAGUUAAUGAACUUGAUCGUGGGUUUGAUCAAGCACAGGUUUACAUUUCUACCCCUGCUUUUAUCUUUAAUCUUUUUUGUUAUAUAAUUGUAUUUCCCCCUUUUUUUAUCAAGUUAAUUUGGUGGUUAAUUAUGAUCUUCCUAUAAGACAUGAUCAUCAAUCUCAACCUGACCAUGAAGUGUACUUGCAUUGAAUUGGAAGAGCAGGGUGAUUUGGGCGUAAAGGUAAUUGUUUUUUAAUAUAUUUUUUUGGAAAGAGGAUUAUCCCAUAACGGGUGUAGUCCGGGCCAGCUUUGAAGCUACAUGGCCACAAGAGUGUUGUAAUGAAUGACUAUAUAAAUACUUUAUAAUGUAUGUGAUAGGAGCUAUAUUCAAAUUGUUAUCUGGUGAAAGGUACAGCAUGAUCAUGGAAAGAAUUGAGACACAUUUCAACCAUUUAAUGGUUUUUGUGUUGUUUGGGUGGGAUUUAUAUUUGUUGCAAAAGUUGGGAGCUAUAAAAAGAGUCAAUUAUGCUUCCUUUCUAUCAAAAGCUAAAAAUCAGAAUUUAUCAUUUAAAAGGAAACUAAACAAUUUCAUUGAUUUAUAUUCUAAUUUAAAGGUUGAGUUGUGUUUUGUUGCAACAUUAUCAAGUGGAGUUGCUCAAACUCAGGUCCUUUUCAGGUCUCAAAUCAACAACUUGGAAAGCACUAAAGAUGUGCAUCCUCAGUUCAGUCCUUGAUAAGUGCCUAAGGCUGCUUGGUUUUGAGUCAGCAACACCUUGUGAUACCUCUUGCAAACUCAGAUUGGUCCUUUCAAAUGUUAGCAAGGUGGGUUAUGCCUUUCAAGAUCUAUUGGAGAUAAAGAAGUUGGGGAGUUCAUUAUGCCAGUUCCUCGUGUCAAACAAGUGAAGCUAUCUUCUACUUGUGGGCGGCUUGUAAUUUCAAGUGAUGGAGCCUGGGAUGCUCUUUCCACUGAAUCAGCUCUGGAAUGCAGUCACUGAUUGGCUCUGGAAUUAGCAGCAGCACAAAUUGUCAAAGUACGGAAACAAAAAAUGUCAAAUUUGUAAAAAAAUAUUAUGCAAUGGAUUUUAUUUUUUGUAUAUGAUAUUUUGUAUGACAUUAAAUUUUAUGAAAUGGAUUAUAUUUUUUGUA
Non-coding RNA from Lactuca sativa (garden lettuce), 3198 nucleotides. Lineage: Eukaryota; Viridiplantae; Streptophyta; Magnoliopsida; Asterales; Asteraceae. The record is from RefSeq and is a predicted model, not a curated record.